Molecule: ribosomal RNA, 489 nt
Filed under: uncultured organism
Description: SSU rRNA
Rfam family: Bacterial small subunit ribosomal RNA
Source: RNAcentral
AGUUUGAUCCUGGCUCAGGAUGAACGCUGGCGGCACGCCUAACACAUGCAAGUCGAACGGAGUUUAUGGGAGCUUGCUCCUAUAAACUUAGUGGCGGACGGGUGAGUAACACGUGAGCAACCUGCCUUUCAGAGAGGAAUAGCUUCUGGAAACGGAUGGUAAUACCUCAUAACAUACGGAUUCGGCAUCGUUUCUGUAUCAAAGAUUUAUCGCUGAAAGAUGGGCUCGCGUCUGAUUAGCUGGUUGGUGAGGUAACGGCCCACCAAGGCAACGAUCAGUAGCCGGACUGAGAGGUUGAACGGCCACAUUGGGACUGAGACACGGCCCAGACUCCUACGGGAGGCAGCAGUGGGGAAUAUUGCACAAUGGGCGCAAGCCUGAUGCAGCGAUGCCGCGUGAGGGAAGAAGGUUUUCGGAUUGUAAACAUCUGUCCUAUGGGACGAAGGAAGUGACGGUACCAUAGGAGGAAGCCCCGGCUAACUACGUGCC